Long non-coding RNA from Gossypium arboreum, 721 nucleotides. RefSeq lists it as uncharacterized. The record is from RefSeq and is a predicted model, not a curated record. The transcript has 2 exons. NCBI's taxonomy places the organism in Eukaryota, Viridiplantae, Streptophyta, Magnoliopsida, Malvales, Malvaceae.
GUCCAAAACACGCGGAUCCUAGGCGGGUUUCGAGUCAGAGCUUGGGAUGGGUCGUUAAACGACGCAGUUUUGGAGCUAUUGAACUCAGCCCCAAACGACGUCAUUCCAAUAGUUUAUAAAAGGAAAAAAUAUAUAUAUUAAAACAGAUCAUUUUUUUCAUGUUUUCAGGAAAAAAAAAAGAAGAGAAAAAAAGGGGGGAGCUCUCUCGGGUCUUAUUAUCUGGCGAUCGGACCACCGUUGGUCUGUUGCCGACGAACACCGCCUACGGUGGCCGGAGGCAUGAAAUCGGCCUCUUUUCAACUCGUUUUUCUUCCCCGACCCUAAAUCUGCAGUCAUAACACCUAAAAAACCCUCGAUCGUUGAAAGAAAUCGAGAAAACCAUUCAGUUUCCUUCCUUUCGAUGGCCCAAAAAAGGUUCGAUUGACGUGGAUGUACAAAGGCCGUACAAAGGCAACACAUGGGGUGUACGGCGUAUAGAGGCGCUGGAGACUGCUGUUGAGGAAGCUACGAUGCUGUGCUAGGGUUUCAAUUUCUAAAGCCACACUCUGGGCCAUUUGGGCUCAUUUUAAGAUUGGGCAUGCAAAUUUGGGUCAGAUUGGGUUCUUAUUGUAAAAUGGGUUUUGAAAUUUAGGCUUUAAUUUGUAUUUGGGCUGGUGAAGGUUGUAAGUGGACUAUUUGGACUGUUUUAAUUUGGAUUUUAUUUAAUUUUUAUUUUAAUUUA